RNAcentral lists this unclassified non-coding RNA (176 nucleotides) under uncultured Clavariaceae. RNAcentral's name for it is "sequence contains ITS1". The record is from RNAcentral. Lineage: Eukaryota; Fungi; Basidiomycota; Agaricomycetes; Agaricales; Clavariaceae.
UUGAAAAAAUCCAUUGGAUGUUGCUGGUCUCUAGGGACAUGUGCACUCCAAACUUUUCAACCCACCUGUGAACCUAUUGUAGGCCAGAUGAUAAUAAAGUCUGUGCCUAUGUUUUUACACACACACCCAAAAAAGUUUAUAGAAUGUUUUUAAAAGAGUAAACCUCUAUUAAAAUA